CAAUCCAUGAGUAAAGUGGCGACCGGGUGAGUAACACGUGACUAACCUACCUUCGAGUGGGGGAUAACCUCGGGAAACCGGGGCUAAUACCGCAUAAUAUCCACGGAUCAAAGGAGCAAUUCGCUUGAAGAGGGGGUCGCGGCUGAUUAGCUAGUUGGCGGGGUAAUGGCCCACCAAGGCUUUGAUCGGUAGCCGGCCUGAGAGGGCGCACGGCCACACUGGAACUGAAACACGGUCCAGACUCCUACGGGAGGCAGCAGUGGGGAAUUUUGCGCAAUGGGGGAAACCCUGACGCAGCAACGCCGCGUGGAGGAUGAAGUCCCUUGGGACGUAAACUCCUUUCGACCGGGAAGAUAAUGACGGUACCGGUGGAAGAAGCCCCGGCUAACUUCGUGCCAGCAGCCGCGGUAAU
Molecule: ribosomal RNA, 412 nt
Filed under: uncultured Acidobacteriota bacterium
Lineage: Bacteria; Pseudomonadati; Acidobacteriota
Description: bacterial SSU rRNA
Rfam family: Bacterial small subunit ribosomal RNA
Source: RNAcentral